UCUUUUUUUAUUUUAAUCUUUUCAGACAAAAGGUAAAGGUGAUUUUCAUUUGAGAAUGCAUCAACAGAUCCUAAAUAAUGGACUGGAAUAUCGAUUUAGAGAAUUAGCCUCCUUAUGAGGCUACCCAGUUGGAGUGGAAAUGCUAAAUCAUGGCUUGAAGCAGUGAUUGAGCACCUGGUGGGAAGGCAGGGCCAAGGGAGCUCAGGUGCAUUGAGUGCUCUGAUUGAUCAGAAGGGCUGGAGCCAGGACCCAUGCCUUCCCAGCCCUCAUUUAAGGGUUGGCAGUGGAGGUGAUGGUCUCUCACUGGAGAUCUCUACAUACCUGAGGCCUUGCAAAGCACCAGUUGUAAUAAGCCAGUUUCUCCAAAAACCAUACAAACCAUCAGUGAAACUUGCCUGCUUGCUGUGCUUGAAUUAGAGAUCCGGAAACGCACCUGCUCAAUGGCACUUCUUACAAGUGGGUCACUAGGACUCACUGAAGGAUGAACAACAAACUCUACCUGUUCAAAGAAGAAAACAAGGGAGGCCACAAGGGGCCAGAUCAGCUUAUCCAGAAAGCACCGUCUGAAGAAAGAAGAGUCACAGAGAUGCUCAAGUUCUGCCAGAAACCUGAGGGGACCUCUCUGGCCCCAGAGCAGAUUUAGUAUUGCUCCAGGAACACGCAAAGAGAAUGAUCCUUAAGAAAAAUGCAGGGCUCUUUGCAAAUCUCAAAAUCACAACCUACCUUUAGCUGGUGGCGACUGAUGAACAGCAUCUUGGGAGCUUGAUUUCAACAGAGAAGCUGAAUUGGCCUUCUG
Molecule: long non-coding RNA, 796 nt
Organism: Tympanuchus pallidicinctus (lesser prairie-chicken)
Lineage: Eukaryota; Metazoa; Chordata; Aves; Galliformes; Phasianidae
Exons: 4
Source: RefSeq, a predicted model, not a curated record